GGUGCCUUAGCAAAGUGGUUAUGCACGGGUCUGCAACACCCUUCACACCGGUUCGAUUCCGGUAGGCACCUCCA
RNAcentral lists this transfer RNA (74 nucleotides) under Candidatus Altimarinota bacterium. RNAcentral describes it as "Candidatus Gracilibacteria bacterium tRNA-Cys". It matches the Rfam family "tRNA". From Rfam's summary of the family: Transfer RNA (tRNA) molecules are approximately 80 nucleotides in length. Their secondary structure includes four short double-helical elements and three loops (D, anti-codon, and T loops). The record is from RNAcentral. Lineage: Bacteria; Candidatus Altimarinota.